Molecule: long non-coding RNA, 587 nt
Filed under: Nicotiana benthamiana
Lineage: Eukaryota; Viridiplantae; Streptophyta; Magnoliopsida; Solanales; Solanaceae
Description: long non-coding RNA (NBEN_LNC008848)
Source: RNAcentral
AAAAAAUCAAAUCAAAUCCCCUCCCAAGAGAAACGGUGGAGAUCCCCAAGCUAAAAAUUGAAGAGAGCGCUGCUCCUCCUCUUCGACCCUCCAUCUCCAAACCCUCCCUCCCAUAACCAAAAAAAACACAUAAAAACAGAUAAUAAAAAUCAGUCUUAAAACUCUCCUUGAGUACCACAUUAAUUCCUAUCUAUACAAUCCCAUCCAAGAACCAAACAUUGAAGGAUCUCAGAUUUUGUUUUGCUGAUGGCAUUUGAUGAAUCCAUCCAAGUGUUGCCUUGUAACGAAUAGUAGUGAUAGUUUCACCAUUUUGAAUUUCAAAAUUAUCGAGCUGAGAUGGAAAUUAUAGCUGAGAAAAGCAAAAGAAAAGAGAACGGGUUUAGUGGGUCAGAGUCAUUAAGUGAUUCAGUGUCCAACGGGACCAGUAAUAGUAGUAGUACGAGUUCCAGUCCUCGUUCGGGAUAGGUGUCCGAGCUCCGUUGUUGCAUAUGUCCUGAGGUUCUCAAGCUGUGUUGGUAUAUGAAUUUGCUGGUUGUUGCUGUCCCUGUGCGCCGAGCUUCAUACUAGGCGUGUUCCGGUCUUUAUUC